UAUACGUACUACAAUGUGGCCUGUUAACAUUGUUUGUCGAAUGGUGCUUGCAUUCAAUUGCAAUCCCCAUUCUAGAAAAGAAUUAGAAUGCAACAUGUAUGUUAGUUGUUAAUAGMGACUAACUAUACACCGAAUGGCAUAACAUCGUUAUCAUACUGCUAAAUUGUUUACCGACUUAUUAACAUAUUUAGCAGAGCCUGUAUGAGAUAACGUUGUUCAGUGCUAUUUGCAA
This 232-nucleotide ribosomal RNA is filed under the name Strongylus asini. The record is from RNAcentral. Lineage: Eukaryota; Metazoa; Nematoda; Chromadorea; Rhabditida; Strongylidae.